RNAcentral lists this transfer RNA (96 nucleotides) under Burkholderiales bacterium. RNAcentral describes it as "tRNA-Sec". It matches the Rfam family "Selenocysteine transfer RNA". Lineage: Bacteria; Pseudomonadati; Pseudomonadota; Betaproteobacteria; Burkholderiales. The record is from RNAcentral.
GGAAGGGAAACGAUCCUGGUGGAUCGGCCGGGCUUCAAACCCGGUGGGCGACGCCACGCGUUGCCGGGUGGGUUCGACUCCCAUUCCCUUCCGCCA